UGCAAUCAGUGAUGAAAUGUGUUUGAUAAUUAAUGAAUCACUGUGAUUAGCAUAUUAAAUAAUCACCAUCUUUCGGCUGAGAUUGCA
This 87-nucleotide small nucleolar RNA is filed under the name Cephalotus follicularis. Lineage: Eukaryota; Viridiplantae; Streptophyta; Magnoliopsida; Oxalidales; Cephalotaceae. The record is from RNAcentral.